RNAcentral lists this ribosomal RNA (497 nucleotides) under uncultured bacterium. RNAcentral's name for it is "partial 16S ribosomal RNA". It matches the Rfam family "Bacterial small subunit ribosomal RNA", at positions 28 to 507 of the family's 1533-position model. The record is from RNAcentral.
GAUGAACGCUGGCGGCGUGCCUAAUACAUGCAAGUCGAGCGAACAGACGAGGAGCUUGCUCCUCUGACGUUAGCGGCGGACGGGUGAGUAACACGUGGAUAACCUACCUAUAAGACUGGGAUAACUUCGGGAAACCGGAGCUAAUACCGGAUAAUAUAUUUAACCGCAUGGUUCAAUAGUGAAAGACGGUUUUGCUGUCACUUAUAGAUGGAUCCGCGCCGCAUUAGCUAGUUGGUAAGGUAACGGCUUACCAAGGCAACGAUGCGUAGCCGACCUGAGAGGGUGAUCGGCCACACUGGAACUGAGACACGGUCAAGACUCCUACGGGAGGCAGCAGUAGGGAAUCUUCCGCAAUGGGCGAAAGCCUGACGGAGCAACGCGGCGUGAGUGAUGAAGGUCUUCGGAUCGUAAAACUCUGUUAUUAGGGAAGAACAAAUGUGUAAGUAACUAUGCACGUCUUGACGGUACCUAAUCAGAAAGCCACGGCUAACUACGUG